UGCGGGGGGGGCAAGCGUUGUUCGGAAUUACUGGGCGUAAAGGGCUCGUAGGCGGCCAACUAAGUCGGACGUGAAAUCCCCAGGCUCAACCUGGGAACUGCGUCCGAUACUGGAUGGCUUGAAUCCGGGAGAGGGAUGCAGAAUUCCAGGUGUAGCGGUGAAAUGCGUAGAUAUCUGGAGGAAUACCGGUGGCGAAGGCGGCAUCCUGGACCGGCAUUGACGCUGAGGAGCGAAAGCCAGGGGAGCAAACGGG
RNAcentral lists this ribosomal RNA (253 nucleotides) under uncultured bacterium. Its description in RNAcentral is "partial 16S ribosomal RNA". It matches the Rfam family "Bacterial small subunit ribosomal RNA", at positions 524 to 776 of the family's 1533-position model. The record is from RNAcentral.